UAGCGGGCGUCGCCGCGAACUAGUGGUGUUCCAGUCAAGAGCAGAACUCAGUUGUAUGGUUGUGUACAACGAGCGUGCUGACUUUCGUUUUUUUAAAUCCUGUUCUAUCGUGGCCGUUACGAGGAACUGUUUUUACUUUUUGGUGUUCACAAUCAAUUUUUUACGGGAAUAUUUCGAUGAAGAGGACUAUCAUCAUCGAAAUACACUCUCAAUACUUCGUUUUUAAGAUAAGCACGUUUUAUUUUUAAGUACUUUUAACCGACGUGAAAGAAAGUUCUUGUCAUUACUUCGUUUUUGUUGUAUGAACUGAAGUUUGUUUAUCGAUAUUUAGAACAGUAUACUUGGAAUUUUCCGUAGGCGAAGGAUAGUGUUUUAUUAAUUGUUAAUAAGAAACGUUAUUUCUAUUUUUUACCGAAUACAGGUAAAUGAACUUUGCAUUAAGUUGUUACACGUAUUGAAUUCAGUGCACAAACUUCUCCGUGGCUGGCGGUUACAUUAGGCAGAAAACGUGACGCCUUCUUCGGGUAUUGAACUUUGACCUGCCGGUGGAUCAGUGUUGGUAACUUAUCCACAAAGUGAGGUUAGGUCAAGGUCAAACGUGGGUGACUUUCAGAAAGGCUGACUAAUAGUCGCUCAAGAUUGUGUGCAAAAAGCUGAGGUUUCACAUAUCUGACUUGCGUAAAAGUGACGUCACUUUCACGGACACUAUACGUAAAUUAUUUUGAAAACUACAACAAUUUUUUAUAUCAAUGUUGUGACGUCGGUUGUGAAACUUUCCCUUCAGACUCAUCACCGUCUUCUUGUUCUCCACCGUCAUCGACGAUUUUGAAACAAGGGAGGAACAGAACCAUAUCUUUGAAGAAAUCAUCAAGGCUGCGCAUUCCUCACGUACUACUGUCGGGACAGCGCCGUCAACGCUCAAAACGCUCUGCAUGAGAAACGCACCUUGCCAGGGGUCUCCUGACCUCCUCGUGACCUCUACCCCUCGCUAAGGUCUCAUCACACCCAACCGUGUUCAUCGGUUGGGUUGGGGGUCGUGGUGGUGGUGGAGGAGGAGGUGGCGAAUUUCUUCUUCCACUCCUUCAGUAUUCAUCCUCAAAUACAACUUCUUGCUCAAAAAAAAAGCCCACUCAAAAAAGAUAUAUCUUACAAUCAUCUGCAACUACACAAAACUUCGCAAAUGGU
Molecule: long non-coding RNA, 1185 nt
Organism: Cryptotermes secundus
Lineage: Eukaryota; Metazoa; Arthropoda; Insecta; Blattodea; Kalotermitidae
Exons: 3
Source: RefSeq, a predicted model, not a curated record